RNAcentral lists this ribosomal RNA (377 nucleotides) under uncultured bacterium. RNAcentral describes it as "bacterial SSU rRNA". It matches the Rfam family "Bacterial small subunit ribosomal RNA", at positions 523 to 898 of the family's 1533-position model. The record is from RNAcentral.
ACACGUAGGUGACGAGCGUUAUCCGGAUUCACUGGGCGUAAAGGGCAAGUAGGCGGUUGCUCAAGUUGGGCGUGACAAUCUCUGGCUUAACUAGGGAGGGACGUUCAAAACUAGGCAACUAGAGGGCAGGAGAGGAAAGCGGAAUUCCUAGUGUAGCGGUGGAAUGCUCAGAUACUAGGAGGAACACCGGUGGCGAAGGCGGCUUUCUGGUCUGCACCUGACGCUGAGAGGCGAAAGCUAGGGUAGCAAACGGGCUUAGAUACCCCGGUAGUCCUAGCUGUAAACGGUGGAUACUGGGUAUUGGGGGCUAACAUGCCUUCAGUGCCGAAGCAAACGCGUUAAGUAUCCCGCCUGGGGACUACGGCCGCAAGGUUAAA